Molecule: long non-coding RNA, 1882 nt
Organism: Pezoporus flaviventris
Lineage: Eukaryota; Metazoa; Chordata; Aves; Psittaciformes; Psittacidae
Exons: 2
Source: RefSeq, a predicted model, not a curated record
CAAGAUGUCUUUCUGAGGAGAGGCUGGGCCACCUCACUGCACUGAUGACUACGGCGUUGGUGGGACAAGGGAAGACUCUGCCAUCACCCCCUUGGAAGUCAAAGAUACAGCCUCAUCCCCAUAAUGUCAGACACCUAUUCUGACACACUUUCUAAACCCACUUGGCAGCGGAGUUCACACCUGUGGAUAUUCAGCACAUCUGAGACAAUACGACAGAGAAGUUCAGGCCUGCAGAAAUAGCACAUUCCUCUCACAUUAGACCUACUUCUUCUAUCACAAAAGUUUUUGGGAAUUCUCCCAUUGCUUUUAUUCAGAGCACGGAAAGAACAGGAAACAAACCUUCAAGCAAGCAAGCAAGGUAAGGUACAUACAAGCUACAAGAAAGUAAGAGUUCUGUAGAAAUAAAUUCCAUAUCUCUAUGAGGCAGAGCUCCAAGUAUUUCCAUGUUCUGCAAAAGAAGCAAAAAAAGGGCCUGCAACAGAAAUAAUUUUUAUGGUCAGGAAAUGUGUAUACAUAUUGAGCCAAUGUACUUCCACAGGAUAUGCUUCCAGCUGCACCGUAUAAUAUAACCUCUGCUCAAGUACUCAAGAGCCAGAACCAGUCUUCACAGCAAACUUUUUCUUUAUUUCAAGGGGAAUUUUUUUACAGUUCUGUAAAAAGCAGCUAUAAAGGCAAAAAUAGGACACAAGGAAAUGGAAUGAAAUUGCAUCACGGAAAGUUCAGAUUGGACAUUAGGGAAAGUUCUUCAAGGAGAGGAUGGUCAGUCACUGAAGAGGAUCCUCAUGGAAGUGGUCACGACACCAAGCCUGUCAGAGUUCAAGGAUCAUCUGGACAAUGCUCUUGGUCAUAUGUUUUAGCUUUAGGUACUCCUGCCAGGAGCAGAGAGUUGGACUUCCUGGUCUUUAUGAGUCCCUUCCAACUUCAGGUAUUAUAUGGUUCUAUAUAUAUACAGAACCUACAGAGAGGUUAUGAUAGGCAUAAGCUUUUUGGUGACUUUAAGGAUUUGUUUCUUUUUGCCCAGGUUGUUGGGGAUAAGUUGACAGCUGGAGGGCAGGGCUGCCACUUGGGGGGAUCUCAGGAAGCUGGAGAAAUUGGCUUAAAGGAACCUCCUGAUGUUCGCCAAGAACAUAUGCUGAGUCCUGCAAUUGGAAUGGAGUAAACCCACACUGAGGGCUUACCGUUGAGACAGAGACUUUGCAGGAAAGGGCCUGAGGGUCCUGGGAGACAACAAAGUGAAUAUGCACCACCAGUGUGCCUUUGCAGCGAUGACGGGUAACUACAUAUCAGGGUGUAUUAGCAAUAGUCAAGGAAGGUGACCGUACCUCUCUAAAUGGCACUUGUGAUUGAUAGUACUGUGUUCAGUCUGGGGCUUCCCAGACAACCUACUGGGUGAACCCGGUACUAGGCCACCAGGGUUGUCACAAGAACAUUCUGAAAGAAAUGGAUUUGUUCAGCUUUUAGAAGUCAAGGUAAAGGGGAAAAAACUCCAUUGCUGUUUUCAGCUACCUAUGAAGAGGGUAUAGAGAGGAAAGAGGAAUUCUUCUUGGAGGUAAAUGGUGAUGUGAGGCAACAGACACAAACUGCAACAACAGAAAUCCCAAAUAGAUAACUAUGAAAAAACCCACAACUCACGGGUGGGUGUUUGAAGACUGGAAUUGGUGCCCAGGGAGGUUGCAGUAUCUUCAUCCUUAGAAAUAUUGAAAACUUGACUGAACAAGAUUCAAUGCAAUAUAACUUCAAAUUUGGCCCUGCUUUGACAAAGAAGAUGGAGCACAUGCUUCAGAAGUCAUCUCCAAUCAGAAUUAUUUUAUCAUUGUAUAAAAGUUUAGAGUAUUCUCCAUGUAAAUCUGUUUUAAACAUGAAUAAAAUGCUCUUGAAUUUA